CACAGAUAGCUCAUGUUCUCACUGCAGUGC
Molecule: non-coding RNA, 30 nt
Filed under: Mus musculus (house mouse)
Lineage: Eukaryota; Metazoa; Chordata; Mammalia; Rodentia; Muridae
Source: RNAcentral